GCAACAGUAGUGUAGAGGUAACAUGCUCGCCUUCCAAGCGUGCGCCCCGGGUUCGAUUCCCGGCUGUUGCA
This is a non-coding RNA of Terramyces sp. JEL0728, 71 nucleotides long. NCBI's taxonomy places the organism in Eukaryota, Fungi, Chytridiomycota, Chytridiomycetes, Rhizophydiales, Terramycetaceae. The record is from the annotation of a GenBank genome assembly.